UCCCUUUGCCCUGCUCUCCAGCAGAUCCUCUCGUUGUUUGACUGGGUAGCAGCCAUUAUCUACAUAACGGAAGCGGAAGGACAGAGAGCCAGAAGGCCAGUGCGAUAUUGAGAUGCUGCGAAGGAGGGCCUGGAACGCGGUCCUGAACAGUCGGACGGGAUCUGGCAGGAGCUGGCUAUUAAAUUACAUCACAAGGGCUACGUGUGGGACUGGAAGAGUGCGUGGUUAUUUCCGUCUCCGAAACCCGAGUGCAAGUCUCAAGGUAAUUACUUUGGAUCCAAGUGUAAUUACCAACUGAUCUGCAGCAACAUACACAGUGGUGACAUCCAUUCGAGGCAGCAUUAGAGCCCGAUAAUAGCACAGCGUCAUUAACACAGCUUAGCACUUCCACGCAUGGCCACAGGCCCCGGUUUUCUUCGGGAAGCAGCUCACGAUUAGGCGGCCAAAUGUGGAGAUCUCAUUAGAAGGCACCUGAGAUGCUGCCUUCGGUCAGCGCGUGUGUGCGCGAGUAUGCAUGAACAAAUCAGUGCACAUUGUAACUAUAGCACACAUGAGGUCCUCAGCCUGUAAAACUAAGCAGGAGCAGAUAUUCUUCGCCACUAUAUAUUUCCUUGUUGUGAUAUUUCUGCAAUCUGCCCUUACUCUUUCCUUUCCAAAGUAUUGAACACCCUGGGAAGAAGUGCGGUGUUUUAUCCCACUGAUACCUGGGGAAUCAUUGCCUAUGUGUUUAGCUUUGCGGUCGCUAUUACAAAGUCACUACCUUUGCAGUCUCUACUGUAACAGCAUCGCGCUAAAAUUUGGGGAUAUUUUAUCUUGAGCUAGCAC
Struthio camelus australis is the source of this 825-nucleotide long non-coding RNA. RefSeq lists it as uncharacterized. The record is from RefSeq and is a predicted model, not a curated record. Lineage: Eukaryota; Metazoa; Chordata; Aves; Struthioniformes; Struthionidae.